Molecule: small RNA, 419 nt
Filed under: Oryza sativa Japonica Group (Japanese rice)
Lineage: Eukaryota; Viridiplantae; Streptophyta; Magnoliopsida; Poales; Poaceae
Description: sRNA Os04g0408650
Source: RNAcentral
GAACAGCACAAUAGAUCAAUUUGGGCUAAGGUUCAACCGUUUGCUGAAAUAAGUUGUCCAAUAACGGAGAAUCACUAUAUAAAGCUUAUACAGAACAUAGUAACUGUAAGCACUGCGGUUCCAGCUGAUAUAUAUCCUGUUUUCUAACAAGCGAAGAGGGUCGUCUGAAUCAAAUCAGCAACAUCAUAACUGGUGGCUCUCUUCACUCUCCUGGGGCAGAGACACCUUGCUUCAGUUUUUCCCUCUUCAUCUUCUUCUUCGAGACUGGCUUCUUUUUGCGAGGAGGAAGCGUCUUCUGAGCGUACACAUAGAGAGCGUAGUUCCCGACAAAGAAAAGCAGCAGGAAGGUCGCGACCACAAUCAGGACUAUCAUUCCAGGGUUCAGUCCCUUGUUGACCUCCUCAAUGACUACAUUGUUC